RNAcentral lists this ribosomal RNA (124 nucleotides) under Mycobacterium tuberculosis. RNAcentral's name for it is "partial 23S ribosomal RNA". It matches the Rfam family "Archaeal large subunit ribosomal RNA", at positions 2748 to 2862 of the family's 2987-position model. Lineage: Bacteria; Bacillati; Actinomycetota; Actinomycetes; Mycobacteriales; Mycobacteriaceae. The record is from RNAcentral.
CCAGUACGAGAGGAACGGUGGGUCCGGACCAAUGGUGCACCUCCUGCCCGACAGGCCACCAGGGGAGGGCAGCCACGUCCGGCAGGUUUUACCCCUGAAAGCCUCUCAAGGGGGAAACCGCGCU